Molecule: unclassified non-coding RNA, 513 nt
Filed under: Melitaea cinxia (Glanville fritillary)
Lineage: Eukaryota; Metazoa; Arthropoda; Insecta; Lepidoptera; Nymphalidae
Description: misc RNA ENSMCXG00005005152.1
Source: RNAcentral
UAUUGUUAACCGACUUCCAAAAAAGGAGGAGGUUCUCAAUUCGACUGUAUUUUUUUUUUUUUUUUUUAUGUAUGUUACAUCAGAACUUUUGCCCGUGUGGACCGAUUUCGACAAAUUUUGUUUUAAUCGAAAGGUGGUGUGUGCCAAUUGGUCCCAUUUAAAUUUAUUUGAGAUCUAACAACUACUUUUCGAGUUAUAUCUAAUAAUGUGUUUUUACUUGACUCUUUUUUCGUCGACCUACGUUGUAUUAUACCGCAUAACUUUCUACUGGAUGUACCGAUUUUGAUAAUUCUUUUUUUGUUGGAAAGGGGAUAUCCCUAGUUUGGUACUUGAUAAGGAAACUAGGAUCUGAUGAUGGAAUCCCAGAGGAAUCGAGGGAAACUCUCGAAAAUCCGUAAUAACUUUUUACUGGGUGUACCGAUUUUGAUAAUUUUUAAUUUAAUCGAAAGCUGAUGUUUAUCUUGUGGUCACAUAUAAAUUUUAUCGAGAUCUGAUAACUACUUUUUGAGUAAU